AACGAACGCUGGCGGCAUGCCUAACACAUGCAAGUCGAACGAGACCUUCGGGUCUAGUGGCGCACGGGUGCGUAACGCGUGGGAACCUGCCCUUAGGUUCGGAAUAACUCCCCGAAAGGGGUGCUAAUACCGGAUAAUGUCUUCGGACCAAAGAUUUAUCGCCUUUGGAUGGGCCCGCGUUGGAUUAGCUAGUUGGUAGGGUAAAAGCCUACCAAGGCGACGAUCCAUAGCUGGUCUGAGAGGAUGAUCAUCCACACUGGGACUGAGACACGGCCCAGACUCCUACGGGAGGCAGCAGUAUAGAAUAUUGGACAAUGGGCGAAAGCCUGAUCCAGCAAUGCCGCGUGAGUGAUGAAGGCCUUAGGGUUGUAAAGCUCUUUUACCCGGGAUGAUAAUGACAGUACCGGGAGAAUAAGCUCCGGCUAACUCCGUG
This 433-nucleotide ribosomal RNA is filed under the name uncultured bacterium. Its description in RNAcentral is "partial 16S ribosomal RNA". It matches the Rfam family "Bacterial small subunit ribosomal RNA", at positions 29 to 507 of the family's 1533-position model. The record is from RNAcentral.